RNAcentral lists this ribosomal RNA (2975 nucleotides) under Syntrophobotulus glycolicus. Its description in RNAcentral is "23S ribosomal RNA". It matches the Rfam family "Bacterial large subunit ribosomal RNA". Lineage: Bacteria; Bacillati; Bacillota; Clostridia; Eubacteriales; Desulfitobacteriaceae. The record is from RNAcentral.
CAAGAUAGAAAGGGCAUACGGUGGAUGCCUAGGCGCUAAGAGUCGAAGAAGGGCGCGGUCAGCAGCGAAAUGCCACGGAGAGCCGUAAGCAGGCGACGACCCGUGGGUACCCGAAUGGGGCAACCCAACCGGAGUCAUAUCCGGUUAUCACAUAAUGAAUCCAUAGUUAUGUGAAGACAAGCCGGGGAACUGAAACAUCUAAGUACCCGGAGGAAAAGAAAGAAAAAUCGAUUCCCUGAGUAGCGGCGAGCGAAAGGGGAAGAGCCCAAACCAGACUCUUCGGAGUGUGGGGUUGUAGGACUGCCAAUAAAGAAGAUAAACUUAGGCGAAGCGAACUGGAAAGUUCGGGCAAAGAAGGUAAAACCCCUGUAGGCGAAAAGUUUAGAAUCGGAGGCAGGAUCCUGAGUACCGCGGGGCACGAGGAAUCCCGUGGGAAGCAGGGGGGACCACCCCCCAAGGCUAAAUACUCCUUAGCGACCGAUAGCGAACAAGUACCGUGAGGGAAAGGUGAAAAGCACCCCGGGAGGGGAGUGAAAUAGAACCUGAAACCGUAUGCUUACAAGCAGUCAAAGCACAAGCAAUUGUGUGAUGGCGUGCCUUUUGUAGAAUGAACCGGCGAGUUGUGAUAUGCAGCGAGGUUAAGUAUUAAAGAUAUGGAGCCGAAGCGAAAGCGAGUCUGAAUAGGGCGUCGAGUUGCAUGUUGCAGACCCGAAACCGUGUGAUCUACCCAUGGCCAGAGUGAAGGUGGGGUAAAACCCACUGGAGGCUCGAACCCACUGUCGUUGAAAAGGCAGGGGAUGAGUUGUGGGUAGGGGUGAAAUGCCAAUCGAACACGGAAAUAGCUGGUACUCCUCGAAAUAGCUUUAGGGCUAGCCUCAAUGAAUGGUAUCUGGGGGUAGAGCACUGAAUAGGCUAGGGGCCUUAUCGGUUACCGAACCUUAUCAAACUGCGAAUACCAGAUAUAAGAAAUUGGGAGUCAGACUGUGGGGGCUAAGCUUCAUAGUCAAAAGGGAAACAGCCCAGACCGACGGCUAAGGUCCCUAAGAGACGCUAAGUGGGAAAGGAUGUGGAACCGCCCGGACAACCAGGAUGUUGGCUCAGAAGCAGCCACCAUUUAAAGAGUGCGUAAUAGCUCACUGGUCGAGUGGUUCUGCGCCGAAAAUGUAACGGGGCUCAAGCGUCACACCGAAGCCACGGCAAGGGAUCGAUUCAUUAAGACUUCAGAAGAGAGAAAAUGGACUCAGGGAAAAAGCAAAGAGAGCUGAGGGUUUAAUGAAUCGAUUCCUUGGGUAGAGGAGCAUUGUCACAGCGUAGAAGUUGAACUGUAAAGUUUGGUGGAGCAGUGACAAGAGAGAAUGCCGGUAUGAGUAUGCGAAAAGGAAGGUGAGAAUCCUUCCCGCCGAAAAUCCAAGGUUUCCUGGGGAAGGCUCGUCCGCCCAGGGUAAGUCGGGACCUAAGCUGAGGCCGAAAGGCGUAGGUGAUGGACAAUUGGUUGAAAUUCCAAUACCACCUUUGAUUGUUUGAGCGAUGGGGUGACACAGGAGGACAAAGCGAGCGUGUGACUGGUAGAGCACGUCCAAGCUGCAAGAGGGUGCUGCAGGCAAAUCCGCAGUGCGAAACCUUGAGCAGUGAUGGGGAGCGAAAAAAAGUAGCGAAGCGCAGAGUUCAAACUGUCAAGAAAAGCCUCUAGUGAGAGAGAAGGUGCCCGUACCGUAAACCGACACAGGUAGAUGAGGAGAGAAUCCUAAGGCGCGCGAGAUAACCCUUGUUAAGGAACUCGGCAAAAUGACCCCGUAACUUUGGGAGAAGGGGUGCUCUAGAAAUAGAGCCGCAGAGAAUCAGUCCAGGCGACUGUUUAACAAAAACACAGGUCCCUGCAAAUCCGUAAGGAGAAGUAUAGGGGCUGACGCCUGCCCGGUGCUGGAAGGUUAAGAGGAGAUGUUAGCCGUAAGGCGAAGCAUUGAAUUGAAGCCCCAGUAAACGGCGGCCGUAACUAUAACGGUCCUAAGGUAGCGAAAUUCCUUGUCGGGUAAGUUCCGACCCGCACGAAAGGCGUAACGAUCUGGACACUGUCUCAACAAGGGACUCGGCGAAAUUGUAAUACCCGUGAAGAUGCGGGUUACCUGCGACAGGACAGAAAGACCCCAUGGAGCUUUACUGUAGCUUGACAUUGGAUUUUGGUAUAAAAUGUACAGGAUAGGUGGGAGGCAGAGAGCCGAGUACGCCAGUAUUCGGGGAGCCGCCGGUGGGAUACCACUCUUUUUGUACUGAAAUUCUAACAAGUGUCCCUAAGCGGGACAUUGGACAUUGUCAGGCGGGCGGUUUGACUGGGGCGGUCGCCUCCUAAAGAGUAACGGAGGCGCCCAAAGGUUCCCUCAGCGCGGGUGGAAAUCGCGCGAAGAGUGUAAAGGCAAAAGGGAGCUUAACAGAGAGACAAACAAGUCGAGCUGGUACGAAAGUAGGGCUUAGUGAUCCGGUGGUACCGAGUGGAAGGGCCAUCGCUCAACGGAUAAAAGCUACCCUGGGGAUAACAGGCUUAUCUCCCCCAAGAGUUCACAUCGACGGGGAGGUUUGGCACCUCGAUGUCGGCUCAUCACAUCCUGGGGCUGUAGUAGGUCCCAAGGGUUGGGCUGUUCGCCCAUUAAAGUGGUACGUGAGCUGGGUUCAGAACGUCGUGAGACAGUUCGGUCCCUAUCCGUCGCAGGCGCAGGAAAUUUGAGAGGAUCUGUCCCUAGUACGAGAGGACCGGGAUGGACGGAUCACUGGUGUACCAGUUGUACCGCCAGGUGCAUAGCUGGGUAGCUAAAUCCGGAUCGGAUAAACGCUGAAAGCAUCUAAGCGUGAAACCGGCCUUAAGAUGAGAUUUCCCAUAGCGAAAGCUAGUAAGACCCCUGAAAGAAGAUCAGGUAGAUAGGCCGGAAGUGGAAGCACGGUGACGUGUGGAGCGGACCGGUACUAAUCGGUCGAGGUCUUGA